Xenia sp. Carnegie-2017 is the source of this 1483-nucleotide long non-coding RNA. RefSeq lists it as uncharacterized. The transcript has 2 exons. The record is from RefSeq and is a predicted model, not a curated record. NCBI's taxonomy places the organism in Eukaryota, Metazoa, Cnidaria, Anthozoa, Malacalcyonacea, Xeniidae.
AUCUACACAAAGAAUAAAAUUGCUCAGUUGCUAGUUAAUCGCACAGUAUCAUCAAAUAACUCCCCAUAACGAAGCCCAAGUGUUUUAGAACAAUAACAAGCGUUGGAAAUCAUUCAUUCAAUAAAAUCGCUCCGAGGUCUUGACGAAGGAAUAAAGCUGGUGGUACAAUGUAGCAAAACAGGCUUUUUAUCGUGAGUGCUUUAUAUGGACGAUUAAGCGUGUUCAAAGGUCAAACAAAUGAGAAAAUUUGUUUUUUCAAAGAAGCUCGACGUGAAUACCAUUAGACAAUCAAUCAAGAGUUAUUCUAAUAUGGUUUGAAUUUGCUGAACAGUUGAAAUUGGGAGUAUAGAAAAGAGAGAUCGACUAGUAACUCAAGUUUCUAUUCAAUGGGAUAUUUUUCAUUUACACAAAGUGCAUUGAUCAACAAAAGAUAGAAAUCAACUGUCACCGUUCAUUUUUGUGAGGAAUUUGAGGCACAUUGAACACCUUACGUGAAGAAACCUACCUUUGAAGUCUCUCCCAAAUGAAGCUAAGAAGCAGAAGGAAAAAAGUAACAAUAUUAUAGACGAAAUUUUCAUUCUUCUCAUCAUUUAGCGAGCGAAAUUCCUCCUUGUAUAUGUAAGUGUAGUACUUGUCGUUUUAAUGCGAUAGCUUUUCACUAACUCGGUGAAUAAUUAACUACGUCAAAUUAUAACUUGGUCACGUGAUAGAUACGCCUUAACGCAAAUGAUGCUAAAACAAAGGGGAAAAUAGGAACAUUCAAACAAGGUCUGAGUAAAAUUCCAUCACACAAGUAACGACGUAUUUACACCUAAAUUUAAUUAAAUUUUAAAGUGAUAACGUACGCCUUAAUCAUGAACAGUAUGUACACCACCAUAGUGUGAUGUCAAUUGUUGAAUAUAUCAGUCUUUCGGAGGUUUUGUCUGUGUGCAUCAUAAAAUGCACAAAUUUCAAGGAUGAUUUUUCACAGGAACGAGAAGAUCCACGCUUGCAGAGGUGCACAUAGAUGAUUUUUACCCAUGCACAAAAAGCCUCCAAAUUAUUCUGUUCUUUGUGCUGCUGACCAACAAAUAGACCACGACUGUAGUGGUUAUGUUAAAAAAGUAAGGAGCUAUGUACUUGAUAUUUAUUCAUUCACAAUUUACAACACAACAGCUAAACAGCUAUUGUAUCCUUGUUCAUAUUCUAGCAUGAACAAAAGUGUUUUCUAAAUCGCUAUUGUAGGUUUGUAACCACUACUUUACAAUAUAAAUAGGCAAAAUUGAUUAUAGUGAAAUUGCAGGGUGCUGACUGCACAGGUGUGCAAGAAAAAAUCAUCGUUGAGCCUGCUCCACCUGUGAACCAGCCACAGCAAGUAAUUUUUCACCAGAGCCUAUCAGUGAAAAAAAAGAGUUAGUAUUACUAACAAUUUACAAGAAAGCUCAGCAAACUUAGAAGAACAUUCAUCAAUGAUUAAUAGCCAUUAAAUGGAAAUGUAAUUGAA